AGAUGCUGCGCUAUGAGUUAUU
Molecule: microRNA, 22 nt
Filed under: Parasteatoda tepidariorum (common house spider)
Lineage: Eukaryota; Metazoa; Arthropoda; Arachnida; Araneae; Theridiidae
Description: pte-miR-11967-5p
Source: miRBase by way of RNAcentral